GGGCUUGUAGCUCAGAUGGGAGAGCGUACGGUUCGCAACCGUAAGGUCAGGAGUUCGAGCCUCCUUAAGUCCACCA
RNAcentral lists this transfer RNA (76 nucleotides) under Oscillospiraceae bacterium. RNAcentral's name for it is "tRNA-Ala". It matches the Rfam family "tRNA". Rfam says of the family: Transfer RNA (tRNA) molecules are approximately 80 nucleotides in length. Their secondary structure includes four short double-helical elements and three loops (D, anti-codon, and T loops). Lineage: Bacteria; Bacillati; Bacillota; Clostridia; Eubacteriales; Oscillospiraceae. The record is from RNAcentral.